UUCUCCCUCUUUAUAGAUAUCUCUCCACUCUAUCACUAUCUUUGUUCGAUCGGCCCCAUCACAACAACUAGAUCUUUUGACUAGGUCUAGGGCUUGAUGUAAAAUCGCCCUUAAAUUGAACCAGGUUCAACUCUUGUUCUGAAGCCAAAGAGGACACGCCAGAAGAAUUGUAUUGUGACCACAAAUUUUGAGAUUUUUCUUUGAAAUUUUGAGUUUUUAAGGUUUGAUUUUGAGAUUUUCCGAUUUUCUCUUUUCUUCUUGUUGAUAUAUGUAUAUCUUUGAGUUAUUCAUAUCUUCGUGGAUUUUAUUCAUGUUCUCAUGCUUCAUUUUUGUGUCUUUUGACUAAGAUGCACUUGUAAAUUUUAUUGCUAAUUAGCUGGAAACAGAGCUGGUGUGCCUGACAAUUGCUGCGCAUUUCACAAACUGCUACUUUACGGCGAGCAUUUUCAAAGACCUGCAAAUGUGCAUAAAGGGAAGACACUGGAUCAGAAAUUGGAUAUAGUGCCUAGCAAUAACUGGAACUAGGAACAGGUUGACCUUGGGACCUCAUUCUGCAUUUUGCUAUCGUAAUUCCUUUGGCAUUUCUGCAUACGGUUCUCAAUCUUUUAAGCUUUAACUUGUAGGUCACUUUCCUUAUCACUUUUCAAUAUCCGUAAGUUAGCUCUUAUAUUGAACUCAAGUCAGCAAAGAAGAUGGCUACAAUUUGUUAACAGUUCUGGGCUGUAAUUUCUCUUUUUGUUACAUUAAGCAUUUGACAUGAAGUUGGAAACUGAAGUUCAUAUUCCUCAUAGUUCCUUUACCUUUGAGGGGUGGUGGUGGUGUGGAUAGAUAAUGAAUUCUUGCAACACAUACUGUGGACUUUAAAAUGCUCGUGUUCAUGACCAGAUGCAUGAUUUACUAUUCACUCUAGUGUUUGAGCAAAUACUGAGUUUAUCUACUUUCCAUGUGAUUUCCUAUGUGAUGAUGCUUAAAAUCUUGGUUUGUCAGCUCAUUUCGAUAGUCAUGUUGGAAGAAUUCAGAUUUGUAUAACCGAAGACAAGUCAUACAAUUUGAUGCUCGAAAGUUUAGCAUUUGGAAGAUUUCAAUAUGAUGAAGUGUUGCGAAAAUUAAUAGAAGACUAUUAUUUCUAGUUCUCGAUAGGAUUGUUAUAUAAUGACAUUAGUUAUUUAGUUCAAACAAUAUAAGUUUUCUAAGUAGUUUUUACGUUAAUAUUUUGCGUUGGUACUUCCGUUUGUUUGUUAGAUCUAACGAGAUAUAUUAUGUUUUUAUAAAUUAAUAGUGAUGUGUU
Long non-coding RNA from Lycium ferocissimum, 1288 nucleotides. RefSeq lists it as uncharacterized. NCBI's taxonomy places the organism in Eukaryota, Viridiplantae, Streptophyta, Magnoliopsida, Solanales, Solanaceae. The record is from RefSeq and is a predicted model, not a curated record. The transcript is spliced from 3 exons.